Molecule: microRNA precursor, 72 nt
Organism: Gorilla gorilla gorilla (western lowland gorilla)
Lineage: Eukaryota; Metazoa; Chordata; Mammalia; Primates; Hominidae
Source: Ensembl
GAGCAUCCUUCAGUGUUCAGAGAUGGAGUCAGUAUUUGUCUGGCCAUUUUUAGGGCAAAGAGGCAGCAUCAU